CGUACUAGACGGGGAGUUAGCGGUGCCCUAUACCUGCAACCCGCUACAGCAGGGUUGAAUUCCUCGCCUCGAUUUUAGUUUGUGUGGUCUGGUCUAUGUAAGUGGCGUUGAUAGCUGGGUCCCACGCAAUAAGGACUCAUGAACCUCGUCAGGUCUGGAAGGAAGCAGCGAUAAGUGAGAUCCCUUAUGUGCCGUGGAUAAACCUGGUUUGAGUUAACUGCAUAGAUAACGCGCAUAAACUAACUAUCAAAGCGAGGUGUAC
Molecule: signal recognition particle RNA, 262 nt
Filed under: Clostridium ihumii
Lineage: Bacteria; Bacillati; Bacillota; Clostridia; Eubacteriales; Clostridiaceae
Description: Bacterial large signal recognition particle RNA
Rfam family: Bacterial large signal recognition particle RNA
About the family: The signal recognition particle (SRP) is a universally conserved ribonucleoprotein involved in the co-translational targeting of proteins to membranes. Archaeal SRP consists of a 7S RNA and homologues of the eukaryotic SRP19 and SRP54 proteins. In most bacteria, the SRP consists of a 4.5S RNA and the Ffh protein (a homologue of the eukaryotic SRP54 protein).
Source: RNAcentral